UACGAAGGGGGCUAGCGUUGCUCGGAAUCACUGGGCGUAAAGGGUGCGUAGGCGGGUCGUUAAGUCAGGGGUGAAAUCCUGGAGCUCAACUCCAGAACUGCCUUUGAUACUGAAGAUCUUGAGUUCGGGAGAGGUGAGUGGAACUGCGAGUGUAGAGGUGAAAUUCGUAGAUAUUCGCAAGAACACCAGUGGCGAAGGCGGCUCACUGGCUCGAUACUGACGCUGAGGUGCGAAAGCGUGGGGAGCAAACAGG
This 253-nucleotide ribosomal RNA is filed under the name uncultured bacterium. RNAcentral describes it as "partial 16S ribosomal RNA". It matches the Rfam family "Bacterial small subunit ribosomal RNA", at positions 524 to 776 of the family's 1533-position model. The record is from RNAcentral.